GGGAGCUUGCUCUUGGGAAUUAGUGGCGAACGGGUGAGUAACACGUGAGUAACCUGCCCUUGACUCUGGGAUAACCUCCGGAAACGGAAGCUAAUACCGGAUACGAACUGCGGAGGCAUCUCCAGCAGUUGGAAAGAACUUCGGUCAAGGAUGGACUCGCGGCCUAUCAGGUAGUUGGUGAGGUAACGGCUCACCAAGCCUACGACGGGUAGCCGGCCUGAGAGGGUGACCGGCCACACUGGGACUGAGACACGGCCCAGACUCCUACGGGAGGCAGCAGUGGGGAAUAUUGCACAAUGGGCGCAAGCCUGAUGCAGCAACGCCGCGUGAGGGAUGACGGCCUUCGGGUUGUAAACCUCUUUUAGUAGGGAAGAAGCGAAAGUGACGGUACCUGCAGAAAAAGCACCGGCUAACUACGUGCCAGCAGCCGCGGUAAUACGUAGGGUGCGAGCGUUGUCCGGAAUUAUUGGGCGUAAAGAGCUCGUAGGCGGUCUGUCGCGUCUGCUGUGAAAUCCCGAGGCUCAACCUCGGGCCUGCAGUGGGUACGGGCAGACUAGAGUGCGGUAGGGGAGAUUGGAAUUCCUGGUGUAGCGGUGGAAUGCGCAGAUAUCAGGAGGAACACCGAUGGCGAAGGCAGAUCUCUGGGCCGUAACUGACGCUGAGGAGCGAAAGCGUGGGGAGCGAACAGGAUUAGAUACCCUGGUAGUCCACGCCGUAAACGUUGGGAACUAGAUGUGGGGACCAUUCCACG
RNAcentral lists this ribosomal RNA (751 nucleotides) under Cryocola sp. Its description in RNAcentral is "bacterial SSU rRNA". It matches the Rfam family "Bacterial small subunit ribosomal RNA", at positions 74 to 845 of the family's 1533-position model. Lineage: Bacteria; Bacillati; Actinomycetota; Actinomycetes; Micrococcales; Microbacteriaceae. The record is from RNAcentral.